This 31-nucleotide non-coding RNA is filed under the name Rattus norvegicus (Norway rat). Lineage: Eukaryota; Metazoa; Chordata; Mammalia; Rodentia; Muridae. The record is from RNAcentral.
UGAAAAGAUCCGAUCAUUUCAAAUGGAGCUU